AAAAAGGUAAGCUAAUUUAAAGCUUUAAGGUUCAUACCCUUAAUAUAGGAAAGUUCCCUCCUUUUUA
Molecule: transfer RNA, 67 nt
Filed under: Neocentrocnemis stali
Lineage: Eukaryota; Metazoa; Arthropoda; Insecta; Hemiptera; Reduviidae
Description: tRNA-Met
Source: RNAcentral